CAGUAGCGUAUAUUAAAGUUGUUGCAGUUAAAAAGCUCGUAGUCGGAUGUCGGGCUCGGGCAGGCUGUCGGCUUCGGUCGGACGGCAGGCUCGGGUCUUUCUGCCUGAGGAUCCAUCUCAUUCACUUGGGGUGGGGACGCAGGCCGUUUACUUUGAAAAAAUUAGAGUGUUCAAAGCAGGCCUACGCCUGAAUACAUUAGCAUGGAAUAAUGGAAUAGGACUUUGGUGCUAUUUUGUUGGUUUAUGGGACCGAAGUAAUGAUUAACAGGGACAGUUGGGGCCGUUUAUAUUUCGUUGUCAGAGGUGAAAUUCUUGGAUUUACGAAAGAUAAACUUCUGCGAAANCANNNGGCAAGGAUGUUUUCAUNGA
Molecule: ribosomal RNA, 369 nt
Filed under: uncultured eukaryote
Lineage: Eukaryota
Description: partial 18S ribosomal RNA
Rfam family: Eukaryotic small subunit ribosomal RNA
Source: RNAcentral